UCACAUUUUCUUCAUUCCUUUUCCGGCUGUCGACUUGGUGAGUUCAAUUUUAUUCUAGUUUGGAAGUCGGACGUAAAUUAAGAAAAAAAUCAAUUAAUUGGAAAAAGUGAAUUUUGGAACAUAAUUAAGUGUUAAUACUGGAAAGAAAUAAUUUGUGAAAAGUAUAAUGGAAGCAAUAAUUAAAACUGAGGUUAAUGGUAGUGGCCCAUUGCCACAAAGACCACAGAAAAAUCAAGGUGGUGGCAACAAGAAUUUCAAUAAGCCUCAAAUGGAUGGUGGUCCAGCUGAAAAAAAGCCACGUUUCAACCAAGGCGGUGGCAACAAUAAUAAUAAUAAUCAGAACAACAGAGGAGGAUUUGGAAACAAAGGUUUUGGUAAUAACAGAAAUAAUAAUAACAAUCGUAAUCGUGGUGGCGGAAAUAAUAGAGGAAAUUUCCAGAAUCAGCAGCAAAACCAACAACAGCCACAAGCCCAAAAUCAACAACCCUCUGCUCAACAGCCUGCGUCAGAUGUUAAACCUGAAAAUGCAGCGAAAACGGAACCCAAAGCUAAUGAAGAGACCAAAAAUGCACCACCAAAUAAUCAACAACCACAACAACAGCAGCAGCAGCCACAACAAAAUCAGCAAAAUCAAAAUCAUAACAAUAAUAUGAAUAAGCAAGGUGGUGGAAACAAUAAUAUGGGAGGAGGUGGUGGCGGUAAUCGCGACCGUGGUCAAAAACGCGACCGUCACUUUGACGGCCCACGUGGAGGUGGUCGUGAUGGUCCCAGAGGCGCAAUGGGUGGUGGAGAUGGUGGCAACCGUGGCGGUCCUGGACGAAAUGAUGAGUUCUUUAUCGGCCAACGUUUGCGUGCCAUUGCCGGGCCAACUCAUGAACUACCACCAAUUGAGAAUACAGAAGAAACUAAAUUCUCUGGCCGUAACCGUCUCUAUGUUGGUAAUUUGACCAACGAUGUCUCCGAGGAAGAUUUGCGUGAGCUUUUCAAACCUUUCGGAGAAAUUGGUGAAGUUUUUAGCAAUCCUGAAAAGAACUUUGCUUUCCUAAAAAUGGAUUUCCACGCCAAUGCUGAGCGUGCAAAGCGCGAGUUAGACGGUACUUUACGUAAGGGACGUAUGUUACGUGUACGUUAUGCCCCAAAUUCUACAGUUUUACGCGUUAGCAAUCUAACACCAUUUGUAUCUAAUGAAUUGUUGUACAAGUCAUUCGAAAUAUUUGGACCCGUCGAGAGAGCUUGUGUCAACGUUGAUGAUCGUGGUAAAUCUACCGGAGAGGGUAUUGUUGAGUUUGCCAAAAAAUCAUCGGCUAACGUUUGCUUGCGUUUCUGUAGUGAAAAGUGUUUUUUCCUCACUGCUUCUCUGAGGCCAUGUGUUGUUGAGCCUUUUGAUGCCAACGAAGACACAGAUGGUUUGCCCGACAAGUCUCUAAACAAAAAAUUGCCAGAAUUCAACCACGAACGCAAUGUUGGUCCUCGUUUUGCUGAUGUUGGUAGCUUUGAACAUGAAUAUGGUACCAGGUGGAAGCAAUUGCACGAAUUAUUCAAGACCAAACAGGAGGCUUUGAAACGUGAAUUAAAAAUGGAAGAAGAAAAAUUGGAAGCACAAAUGGAAUAUGCUCGUUAUGAGCACGAGACAGAACUUUUAAGACAAGAAUUACGCAAACGCGAAUCUGACAAUGAACGCAAGAAAAUGGAAUGGGAAAUGCGUGAAAAACAAGCUGAAGAAUUGCGCAAACGUGACGAAGAACAAAUGCGUCGCCAACAAAGUGAAAUGCAAUCUCGCAUGUUGCGUCAAGAAGAGGAAAUGCGUCGCCGCCAACAAGAAAACACAUUGUUCAUGCAAGCCCAACAAUUGAAUUCUAUUUUAGAUCAGCAAGAAGGUGGCUUUAGUGGAAAUUGUAGCAAUUUCGAUAACUUUGGCGGUGGCAAUAACUCGCCAUUCGAUUUCCGUGGCAACAAUGGUGGUAAUGGUGGAAAUAAUGGUCCCAAUGGACCUAAUAACCAACAGAGAUUUGUUGGAAACAUUUAACUUUUGCUGAUUCCUAUCACACAACAUGAUUAAUUCUGGUCAAUGACAACAUGGGAUUGAAUAUAUAAAAGGUUUUUAAAGGCCCUUGAACAUGUAACAAAUUGCUGCCGUUUAGUAAAAGUUCCAAAUGGUCAUGAAAGAAGGGAUAUAUCAAAUGUCUCUAUUUGAAAGAAAAGUUUUAACGGGUCAGAGAUUAUAAAACAUGGGAAAAACAUGCAAUAGAUCCUGAAAGAUUUUAUAAUUUUGGAUAUCAUCUAAAACGUAUGGAUGGACUGGACUGACUGGAAAUAAUGCAGCUGUUUUUUGCUGUAUUAAAAUCAGAAACUAUCUUACAAAUAAUGCAGCUGUAUUUUACUUUCUCGAAAUCAGAUGCAGACAAUUGUUUUUUGUGGAACUAUAUAGUUUAAUUUUGGAUUUUAACAAUUAAGCUAAAGCAAUUAAAGCUAUCUCCAACUGAUUUUUGUGGAACUAUGUGAUCUUACUUUAAAUUCCAUCAACACAAACUUGAAAUGUUAAGCAAAACACUAAUUGUGCUUCCAAAAUGUACCAGAAUAAACGUGGUUGAAAAAAUUUUCUGGUUAUGUCUCUGAUGUUUUCCAAAAAAUGUGGAUCUUUAAUAAAUAAUAUUUUCUUUUAUUGUCCUGAGGAGUUGCAAGAAAAUUAUUGUGGGAUCUAAAAAAUAAUAAUGAUCUUACAGCCAAAUAAUUGGAUGGAAAAGAAUAUAAAAUUAAAGAGUUUACAUAAAUUAAAUAUUUCCUAUGAUAAUUCCAAACUAUGAUUUUUUGAAAAUACAUAAAUACAUCUGUGGUCGAAUUAGUGCGUACGUGAUGGCUUUCGCAUCGAAAUCACAUUUCAAUAUCGAAAUUUAUCUAAUAACGGCCAAACAUUGUCAACCCAGCGACAGCUGUAGGUUAGGUUAGGUUUUCUCAGGUAGCCAAUUUUCGGCUUUACUUGGGUCCAUGUUGAUCCCUUUGUAAAAAUACCUGUAAGAAAAAGAAAAGAGAAGGAGAAAUAGGGAAGAGUGGAAGAACAGAGACAGUUGCAAAGAGAAGGAGAUGAUGAGAAAUGAGAAAGCCAGGGCAGCUGCCGUGGAUGAGUAGUGUGAGUAAUAGGAUUCACACCCAUUUUGACAAAUUAAUGAACUCUAGUAGACGUUAUAAUUGAAUGUUUGACAAUUCGGUUAGAUCACCAAAAUAGGUCGAUCCAAGCGUCCGAAAACGGGCCUCCGCCAAAGCAGGACAAUCGCAGAGAAGAUGAGUAAUAGUCUCUUCUUCAUCCUCGUUUUGACAACUCCUACAGUAAUCGUUGAACGGGAGACCAAUGCGUCUGGCAUGGUUCCCAAAUUUACAGUGGCCAGUGAUUAUCGAUAUCAGCCUACUUAACUGCGGUCUUUGGAGACCAAGAAGAUAUUUAGACCUUUGAGGAUCGAUCUAUGAUUGAUUUGUAAUCCGUGAGAAAUUAAAUCGUUAAUUUUUGAUUAAAUUUAUUUUACUCGCAAUACUUCUUAACACAUUAUUUUGAAACAAAAAUCUUUCAAAUUAUUACACAAUAUGUUUGUAACUGUACUUCAAACACAUCAUCAAUUUACAUUUUCAUAAACAAGUUGUUAGUGUUUAUCAGUGAAACAAAAAUCUUUGAUUUAUGUAAACUCUUUUGUUUUAUUAAAUUUCGUAUUUUGGUGAAUGAAAUAGCAAUUAACAUAAACCUUUUAAGAUUUGUCUUUAAUUAAUUUUGGAAUUAUGGAAUUCA
RNA transcript from Lucilia sericata (common green bottle fly), 3775 nucleotides. It is a transcript of the gene named protein no-on-transient A-like, with no coding region annotated. The record is from RefSeq and is a predicted model, not a curated record. NCBI's taxonomy places the organism in Eukaryota, Metazoa, Arthropoda, Insecta, Diptera, Calliphoridae. The transcript has 17 exons.